CAAAACAUAUAUCCAAUACAACCACAAUGAUAGCCACAACACAAUUACAUACAAUUCAAUAAUCCAACUGAAAUUCAAAAAAAUGACAUAGUUCAAUACACAUGAGAGUAUGGCUGAGUUCCAUAGUAUCCUGCAAAUAAUCAUGGGAAAAAAAUUCAAGUGAAAGAAGUAGAACCAAACAAUGAAAUACUCAUGCCAAAAAAUUAGCCAGCACACACACUAGCUCCGGCCAGCGUCGGUGGCAGCGUGGGGCGCAGGCGUUGGCGACGGCGGGGAUGGCGACGGCGAGGACGGGACGGCGGCAUCAGGCGACAGCGUCGGCGAGGACUGGACGGCGGGGA
Molecule: long non-coding RNA, 341 nt
Filed under: Oryza brachyantha (malo sina)
Lineage: Eukaryota; Viridiplantae; Streptophyta; Magnoliopsida; Poales; Poaceae
Description: long non-coding RNA (OBRA_LNC000492)
Source: RNAcentral